AUAAAUCGCUCAAAUUUCUCACUCCAAAGUUCCUGCAGAUUGAAUCCCAAAAUCUUUAUGAACCAAAUAUUUCAGCAUAUCUUGUAACAUUUCUUGCUAAAGUGACACAGUAGCAAGUCUAAUUACUCGUUUAAUUGACACUUAAUAUCAAUAUCACGAUCUUAAUUACUCAUUUUAUAUGAAAACAAAAAAGUUCUUAUCGCAUCCCUGAUAUUGACAUUAACAAAAAUUAAUGACCUUACAUUAUGUCAAAAAUCCUUUAAUUUCAUAUAUGUUUGGUAACACUACAUACGAAAUUUCACAAACAAAUAGAAGCCAGUAUAAGAGGAAAAAUAACUCAUCGUCUGCUAAAUCUCAAGUAUAGAACAACUAAAUCACCAUUCCUGACUUUCAGAAGGAAAGUAUCACAUUAGCUAGGUAAAUGGCUCAGACCAGUGAAUGGAUUGGCAUACUGAGAAAUGCAAAAUCUGCAGGAAAGGAAGUUAGUCCACUUCAAUGAUUUUCAUUAAGAAAGAGGGAGAGAAAGUAGAGAACUUAACUGAAAAAAUAGGCAUAUCAUCAAUAAACACACGAUUAAAAGAAAGAGGGGGAGAAUGUAGAGAACUUAACUAAAAAAAUAGGUGCAUCUUCGUUCAUCUUCUGCUUUCUCUUCAGAAGAGAAGAGAUUGAUUGUCACACAAGCAGUUGUGCAGAUCAUUCUUCCUCAUCUUUCCUUGUUCGUCUCUUCCUUUUUGGAACUGGAUCUAUAGAUAAAGUUAUUCUUACAGGAACAAAUAACAAUAGAGCACAAAUUAAGAGACCUUAGGUGUAUAGUCCACUUCAAUGGGAAUUUAGAAAUUACCAACCAAAGAAGUUCAUGUUUGGCAUGUAAAGUAGACUACUUUGAGAAAUUAGAGAGGAAAUGAAGUGCUCCACAAAUAGGAAAUUCCAUUACACUUUGAAAUCCUAUAUUGAGUCCACGUUCUCAGAGAUUCUCCCUUAAACUUGCUGACUUAUACAGUUUCUUUUUACCACUUCUUCGACAUUUCCUC
This 1031-nucleotide long non-coding RNA is filed under the name Nicotiana tabacum (common tobacco). RNAcentral's name for it is "long non-coding RNA (NTAB_LNC000686)". The record is from RNAcentral. Lineage: Eukaryota; Viridiplantae; Streptophyta; Magnoliopsida; Solanales; Solanaceae.